UAUUAGAGGCAUUGCCUGCCCAGUGACUAAAGUUAAACGGCCGCGGUAUCCUGACCGUGCAAAGGUAGCAUAAUCACUUGUUCCUUAAUUAGGGACUAGAAUGAAUGGCUAAACGAGGGUUCAACUGUCUCUUACUUUCAAUCAGUGAAAUUGACCUUCCAGUGAAGAGGCUGGAAUAUUACAAUAAGACGAGAAGACCCUAUGGAGCUUUAAUUUACUAGUUUAAUUUAUAUAAAAAUAACCUAAUGGCUCAAAACAAAACAAAUAUAAACUAAAAAUUUCGGUUGGGGUGACCUCGGAGAAUAAAAAAUCCUCCGAAUGAUUUUAACCUAGACCCACAAGUCAAAGUAACUCCAAUAUCUCAUUGACCCAAUUAUUGAUCAACGGACCAAGUUACCCUAGGGAUAACAGCGCAAUCCUAUUCAAGAGUUCAUAUCGACAAUUAGGGUUUACGACCUCGAUGUUGGAUCAGGACAUCCCAAUGGUGCAGAAGCUAUUAAUGGUUCGUUUGUUCAACGAUUAAAGUCCUACGUGAUCUGAGU
RNAcentral lists this ribosomal RNA (542 nucleotides) under Bandicota bengalensis (lesser bandicoot rat). Its description in RNAcentral is "partial 16S ribosomal RNA". It matches the Rfam family "Bacterial large subunit ribosomal RNA", at positions 1844 to 2610 of the family's 2925-position model. Lineage: Eukaryota; Metazoa; Chordata; Mammalia; Rodentia; Muridae. The record is from RNAcentral.